Molecule: ribosomal RNA, 372 nt
Filed under: uncultured bacterium
Lineage: Bacteria
Description: bacterial SSU rRNA
Rfam family: Bacterial small subunit ribosomal RNA
Source: RNAcentral
UACGGAGGGUGCAAGCGUUAUCCGGAUUCACUGGGUUUAAAGGGUGCGUAGGUGGGUUGGUAAGUCAGUGGUGAAAUCCCCGAGCUUAACUUGGGAACUGCCAUUGAUACUAUCAGUCUUGAAUACCGUGGAGGUCAGCGGAAUAUGUCAUGUAGCGGUGAAAUGCUUAGAUAUGACAUAGAACACCAAUUGCGAAGGCAGCUGGCUACUCGAAUAUUGACACUGAGGCACGAAAGCGUGGGGAUCAAACAGGAUUAGAUACCCUGGUAGUCCACGCCCUAAACUAUGGAUACUCGACAUUUGCGAUAAACUGUAAGUGUCUGAGCGAAAGCAUUAAGUAUCCCACCUGGGAAGUACGACCGCAAGGUUGAA